Molecule: ribosomal RNA, 100 nt
Filed under: uncultured archaeon
Lineage: Archaea
Description: partial 16S ribosomal RNA
Rfam family: Archaeal small subunit ribosomal RNA
Source: RNAcentral
GGGGCCCCCAUGCUGCCUCUCUUAAGGGGGUGGCUUUUUUAGAGUGUAAAAAGCUUUAAGAAUAAAAGCUGGGCAAGACCGGUGCCAGCCGCCGCGGUAA